This 500-nucleotide ribosomal RNA is filed under the name uncultured bacterium. RNAcentral's name for it is "partial 16S ribosomal RNA". It matches the Rfam family "Bacterial small subunit ribosomal RNA", at positions 30 to 523 of the family's 1533-position model. The record is from RNAcentral.
AUUGAACGCUGGCGGCAUGCUUUACACAUGCAAGUCGAACGGCAGCACGGACUUCGGUCUGGUGGCGAGUGGCGAACGGGUGAGUAAUACAUCGGAACGUACCCAGUAAUGGGGGAUAACUAGUCGAAAGAUUAGCUAAUACCGCAUACGCCCUACGGGGGAAAGAGGGGGAUCGCAAGACCUCUUGUUAUUGGAGCGGCCGAUGGCUGAUUAGCUAGUUGGUGGGGUAAAGGCCUACCAAGGCGACGAUCAGUAGCGGGUCUUAGAGGACGGUCCGCCAAACUGGAACUGAGACACGGUCCAGACUCCUACGGGAGGCAGCAGUGGGGAAUCUUGGACAAUGGGCGAAAGCCUGAUCUAGCAAUGCCGCGUGCGUGAAGAAGGCCUUCGGGUUGUAAAGCGCUUUUGUCUGGGAGCAAAUCCUUGUGGCUAAUACCCACCGGGGAUGAGAGUACCAGAAGAAUAAGGACCGGCUAACUACGUGCCAGCAGCCGCAGUAA